UGAGCUAACAUAAGCAACUGUUGCAGACUUGGCUGGGCUAGACCCCUCUCACAUCAUGGUAAUAUGCAAUGCUCCUAACAACAAUAUCAUCUCCAUGCUUACCUUUACGCUUUUUUCAAAUAUGAUGGUUUCCUUUGUUAGUUCACCUCUUUUACACAUUGUGAUUUGAAUAUCUAUAUCUCUCACAAACAACUAUGGGAAAAUAGUGUUGUUCAUUGUUAAGCUUGAUACGAAUGUCAUUUAUAUCCAUGUCUAUCUUCCCCAUCAAAUAACUAAGAUCCAUAAAUAUGCGUCAAUGUGUAUGGCAUUUUAUUUAAUUCCAGACUUCAAUCUGAAGUUUUUGAAAAAAAUACUAAUUUGUAUGCAAGGAACAUCAUAUUCUGUUUAAAGAUAAUUAUUAUCGCCUUGGUGUACGCUUUGCUGCAUGAGUUUGUGCUCAUGUAAACUAAUGAGCACUCUAAUUUGCCUUCCAAAAUUAGUAUUGUAACCAUUGUAUUUUACUAUCCAUUUAUCAUUAUCGAUCUACCGUUGCCUCUACGGGCGUGGGGUGUCGCCGCGCUUUUUGGUGCUAGUUGAUAUGAUUCCUACUUCAGUUAGUUCUCUAAGUGGUUAACUAAACUUCUAUGUUUCAGCUACUAAAAUCAUGUUGAACUGAAUAGUCCUACUGCACUACUUGCCGCAACACUUUUGUUUAUUUUUUGGUAUUAAGACAUGAUUGGUUGGUCUAUUUGAUAAGAUUUCUGGUUCAAAAAAACAACCAAAACAUACUUGAAGCUACACUUCUAUUUAUAAUGUCCUUGUAUCAUGUUUUGUUUCCUUCCUGGACAUGGUAUGGUCUAAGUGAUGCUUUUAUGGUAAAUGGUGUGGUUCCUAUAGUCCUGCUGCUAUUUAAUGCUCUUGUAGUUAGGAUUCUACUCCUGGAAGUGAUGCUUGUAGAAAAUGUCUUAGCUUUAUAUGCCGAAAGGUUGUGCAUUAAUUAGUUUCUUCUUCUUCUUCUUCUUCUAAUUUUCUUAAUCACUCCAAUUUUUGCAGAUUUGAUUCAUUUCAUGGAAGCUGGCAUUGAUGGACUGCUAGUGUUUAAAUUUUUUUCAUUUGUAUUGACGAACAAUGUAAAAUUUAUGUAUGUAUAUAUAUAUGAACUAUGUGAAACUAUGUAUUGUGCUAGCCUAUGUGUUCUCUAGAUUGUUAAAUAUUUUAUGAUGAUGUUGGAAAUAUAUAUGCUAUGAAAUAUAUGUGUUGAAGAUGUCUAAAAAGAUGUUGUGAAAUGUAUAUGUAUGCAUGUA
This 1283-nucleotide long non-coding RNA is filed under the name Hordeum vulgare. RNAcentral describes it as "long non-coding RNA (HVUL_LNC001357)". The record is from RNAcentral. Lineage: Eukaryota; Viridiplantae; Streptophyta; Magnoliopsida; Poales; Poaceae.